Molecule: transfer RNA, 75 nt
Filed under: Candidatus Rokuibacteriota bacterium
Lineage: Bacteria; Candidatus Rokuibacteriota
Description: tRNA-Thr
Rfam family: tRNA
About the family: Transfer RNA (tRNA) molecules are approximately 80 nucleotides in length.
Source: RNAcentral
GCUGGCGUAGCUCAGGGGUAGAGCGGCUGACUUGUAAUCAGCAGGUCGGGGGUUCGAAUCCUCUCGCCAGCUCCA